RNAcentral lists this long non-coding RNA (498 nucleotides) under Carassius auratus (goldfish). RNAcentral describes it as "lncRNA (ENSCARG00000070206.1)". The record is from RNAcentral. Lineage: Eukaryota; Metazoa; Chordata; Actinopteri; Cypriniformes; Cyprinidae.
AUGGAUCAAUCUGCGGACGGAAAUACAGAGAGCAAACAGAAUGCUGCGAAACCGCUUUAUCAGCGUUAUUUGGUGUCUUUUCCAGCCAUAGUGUGUUUAGUGUUGUCGCUGAGUUCAAUAGCGGUGUGUUUUCUCAUGACUUUCAAAACGCAUCGUCUGGAGAGCAGGCUGCGCGAGCUGGAGAUAAAGAUGAUUGACAUCUGUCAAGAAUCAUCCAAGGACGUCUCUGUUCCACUGGAAACGCGGAAAUCCAUCGAAACACUCUUACAGGAGAGACUGAAUGAAGCGAUACCGAAGUUGCGUGUGGUGAGAGAUGUGACACAGGACUGCAACUGUCCUCCAGGUCCUCCGGGGAAACGUGGUCGGAUGGGCAGAACCGGCGACCCUGGGUCCACUCGGUCUGGAUGGCAAACCUGUGAGUAUUCCAGAGCUUUAAAGAGACAAGAUGAGACUUUGUGUGUGUUUGUGUGUGUGUGUGUGUGUAUGUGUGUGUAUUAA